CGAAAACCUUACCUACCCUUGACAUGUCUGGAAUCCCGAAGAGAUUUGGGAGUGCUCGCAAGAGAACCGGAACACAGGUGCUGCAUGGCUGUCGUCAGCUCGUGUCGUGAGAUGUUGGGUUAAGUCCCGCAACGAGCGCAACCCUUGUCAUUAGUUGCUACGAAAGGGCACUCUAAUGAGACUGCCGGUGACAAACCGGAGGAAGGUGGGGAUGACGUCAAGUCCUCAUGGCCCUUAUGGGUAGGGCUUCACACGUCAUACAAUGGUCGGGACAGAGGGUCGCCAACCCGCAAGGGGGAGCCAAUCCCAGAAACCCGAUCGUAGUCCGGAUUGCAGUCUGCAACUCGACUGCAUGAAGUCGGAAUCGCUAGUAAUCGCGGAUCAGAAUGUCGCGGUGAAUACGUUCCCGGGUCUUGUACACACCGCCCGUCACACCAUGGGAGUGGGUUUUACCAGAAGUAGUUAGCCUAACCGCAAGGGGGGCGAUUACCACGGUAGGAUUCAUGACUGGGGUGAAGUCGUAACAAGGUAAGCGUAGUGCU
Molecule: ribosomal RNA, 542 nt
Filed under: uncultured bacterium
Lineage: Bacteria
Description: bacterial SSU rRNA
Rfam family: Bacterial small subunit ribosomal RNA
Source: RNAcentral